RNAcentral lists this ribosomal RNA (464 nucleotides) under uncultured bacterium. Its description in RNAcentral is "partial 16S ribosomal RNA". It matches the Rfam family "Bacterial small subunit ribosomal RNA", at positions 338 to 795 of the family's 1533-position model. The record is from RNAcentral.
CCUACGGGAGGCAGCAGUAGGGAAUUUUCGUCAAUGGGCGCAAGCCUGAACGAGCAAUGCCGCGUGAACGAGGAAGUUCUUCGGAUCGUAAAGUUCUGUUGAAGGGGACAAAGAGCGGAGAGAGGAAAUGGUCUCCGAUUGAUAUUACCCUUCGAGGAAGUCACGGCUAACUACGUGCCAGCAGCCGCGGUAAUACGUAGGUGGCGAGCGUUAUCCGGAAUGAUUGGGCGUAAAGGGUGCGUAGGCGGCCUGCUAAGUCUGGAGUGAAAGGUACCGGCUCAACCGGUAUAGGCUCUGGAAACUGGCGGGCUAGAGAGCAGGAGAGUGCGGUGGAACUCCAUGUGUAGCGGUAAAAUGCGUAGAUAUAUGGAAGAACACCAGUGGCGAAGGCGGCCGCCUGGCCUGUUACUGACGCUGAGGCACGAAAGCGUGGGGAGCAAAUAGGAUUAGAUACCCCGGUAGUC